Molecule: long non-coding RNA, 3738 nt
Filed under: Sus scrofa (pig)
Lineage: Eukaryota; Metazoa; Chordata; Mammalia; Artiodactyla; Suidae
Description: lncRNA (ENSSSCG00030043470.1)
Source: RNAcentral
UUUUUUUUUUUAAGGUAGGAUUUAUAUUUAUUUAUUUAGUCUUUUUAGGGCUGCACCCAUGGCCUAUGGAGGUUCCCAGGCUAGGGGUUGAAUCAGAGCUAUAGCCUCCAGCCUACACAAGAGCCAUGGCAACAUGGGAUCCAAGCGGUGUCUGUGACUUACACCACAGCUCAUGGCAACACUGGAUCCUUAACCUAUUGAGUGAGGCCAGGGAUCGAACCCAUGUCCUCAUGGAUCCUAGUUAGAUUUGUUUCCAUGGAGCCAUGACAGGAAUUCCAAUAAAUCUAUUUCUUGCCGUGAUAGAUUCUGUCUCUCACUGAAUUCCUUCUGGGUGGAGGCAGGAAGAACAUGAACCUCAGUGAGUCCAGACAACAGGUGAGUGAUUCUAACUUAAAAACUGUGGGUUCAAGUCCCAGUCUGGGUUCUGGCUGGGUUCAAAUCCUAGGUGCUGUCAGUUUCACCACCAUCAGGAAUUUCCCACUGGCUCCUGUAAUGAUCUGAACCUUUUCACCCCUCCACUCUCCAUUUUUCUAGGCUUGUUAACCUCUCUCUUAGGGCCGCCCAGGAAGAAUCCAAAUCCCUCACGUUCUCUUCGCUAAAGCUGUUCAGCCACGUCCUCCUGCCUUCUGCUCUAGAUCAGGAGUUUCACUGGAGCCAGAGCCUUCCAAAGUCUCCCCCAAACAUAGAACCAUCUGCUGUGAAGUGCGAGAGGCCAUUUCCCAGGGCUGCACGGCAGGUGCAGGCAGCUCUAGAUUCAAUCAGCAGUGUCUCCUCUUCUGGCCAGAGCUGUAGAACCACAUUCACUGAGUGGCCUUAAAGAGCAUGUGCCCACACCAGUGAGCCAGCACGAUGCUGCCUUCAAUGUGAAGGGUGCUCCUGGAAGAAAAGGAUUGUGUGUCUCACAGACCCUGGAGUCAAAAAAAACCCUGCCAUCAACUCCUCUUACUAGCUGAGCAUCUGGGACAAGCCAGUUAGUGAGGAAAACUUCACUUUGCUCACCUCUAAAAACGGGCCGAUAACACUCAAGCUGCAGAGUGUUAUAAGGACCAAAUAUGAGGAGUUCCCUUGUGGCCUAGUGGUUAAGGAUCCAUGUUGUUACUGCUGGGGUGAGAGUUCAAUCCCUGGCCUGGGAAUUUUUGUCACUGAAGGUGCAGCCAAAAAGUUUUAAAAGGACUGAAUACGAGAGACAACACCCCUUUUUUUUUUUUUUAAAUUGAAGUAGAGUUGAUGUAUAAAGUUACAAGCGCACGAUAUAGUGAGUCACAAUUUUUAAAGUUUAUACUCCAUUUAUAAUUGCUAUAAAAUAUUGGCUCUAUUCCCAUAACACAGGAAUAUAUACAGCCAAUAUAUCUCUGCACCUUAUUUAAUUUACAUACAGUCGUUUGUUCCUCCUAACCUCCUACCCCUGGACUGCUCCUCCCUGCCCCUCCCUACUGGUAACAUUUGUUCUCUAGAUCUGUGAGGUUUUUGUUAUAGUCAGCAGUUUGUUUGUUUUUUAAGAUUCCACAUGUAAGUGAUAUCUUUCAGUAUUUGUCUAACUUACUUCACUUAGCAUAGUGCCCUCCAAGUUGAUUCCCGUUGCUGCAAAUGGCAACAUUUCUUUCCUUUUUAUGGCUGAGUAGUAUUCCAUCUUCCUUCUCCAUUUAUCUGUUGAUAGACCCUUAGGUUGUUUCCAUAUAUUGGUGAUUGUAAAUAAUGUUGCUGUGAACAUUGAUGUGCAUAUAUCUCUUUGAAUGAAGAUUUUCAUUUUGGGGGAAUAAAUACCCAGGAGUGGAAUGGUUGGAUCAUACAGCAGUUCCAUUUUCCGUAUUUGGAGAAACCUCCACAAUGUCUGCACCAAUUUACAUCUUCAUCACCAGUGUGUGAGAGUUCCCCUUUGUCCACAUCCUAGCCAGCACUGAGAGGAAACACACUUCUAUCUUCAGCAAACAAAGCCAUUUAUUUUGUGUGUGUGUAUCUUUUUAAGGCCACCCCCGAGGCAUGUGGUUUCCAGGCUAGGGGUCCAAUGGGAGUAGUAGCCACCGGCCUAAGCCAAAGCCAUGGCAAUGCAGGAUCCAAGCCAUGUCUUUGACCUACACCACAGCUCACGGCAAUGCCAGAUCCUUAACCCACUGAGAGAGGCCAGGGAUUGAACCCAAGUCCUCAUGGAUACUAGUCAGGUUCGUUAACGGCUGAGCCAUGACAGGAACUCCAAACAAAGCCAUUCUUGUCAUUAGCAUCACUACUUGGCAAAAACUCUUUAAUCCAUUUUUAUUUGCUUACAGCCACAUCUGCAGCACACAGACGUUCCUAGGCUAGAGGAUGAACUGGAGCUGCAGCUGCUGGCCCACACCACAGCCACAGCAACACCAGAUCCGAGCCAUCCCAAGACCUACGCCAUGGCUUGCAGCAAGCCAGAUCCUUAACCCUCUGAGCAAGUCCAGGGAUGGAACCCACAUCUUCAUGGAUACUAGUUGGGUUCUUAAUCUGCUGAGCCACAACGGGAACUCCUUUAAUGCAUUUUUUAAAAUUUCAUCUUCUCAAAACUCUACAAGAGAGGUGGACACAAGAUUCAUUAGCUCCACUAACGUGCACACGUGCGUGCACACACACGAGCGCACAUACACACACACAAAAUUAAAGGUUCCCCUGGCCAAGCUGCCCUAGCUAAUAAAUGGCUGAGCUUGGACCAGAACCAAGGUGCCCCACGUCCUCCCCAGCAGAGCAGCUCCUUGGCAUGGCUUAGAAUCCAAAGCCUCCAAGCUGACACACUGGGCGGCCAGAGGUGGGAUGGGAGGGGAGUGGACUUCCUUCUUAGGUUAACUCGAUUUUUCCAGCAACUGGGUGUGGCUGAUAUGGACACUGACCCAGACCUCAGCACAUUCCUGGGAGCCUUGCGCUGCACAGUUCUGGCUGCAUCAACUGCAGGAACAGUUACAAGCACACAGGUGCUUCCCAUCGAGGGGCCGCUUUUCUUCUCUCUGGACCAGAUGAAGUGGUGGAACAGGGUCCCUAACAAAGUCCAGAUUGAGCCUUUUCACGGGGAGUUUCCCCUUUGCUCCUAUGUUUUACCGGUUCCAGUGUUGUGCCCCACUGCCUUCCAAGGCAAGCCUAGGAGUAAACACACAGUAUGACAGUGCACAUUCAAGGGCUCCGGGAUAGAGGCCACGGGGAGAGGGGACAAGGGAGCAGAGGUGGCUUGGCCCGCGGGGCCCAUGGCCGGUUCUGGCAGUAGGGUGGGCUUGGCUCCCUGUUUGCUUGAAUCAAGUCUGGUGGUUGCAAGAAACAGAAAGUAAGUGGGAGGAGCUCACGCACAGAGGGAGUUUCAUUACGCAGCCAGGCUGUCGCGAGGUCUCCAAGUCCAGGCUACAGAGGCUCCCAGGAGGGGAUGAGAAACAGGGUUCGGCUGCACGGAACCCCCUUCUCCCCUCAUCUCUGCUCGGUCCAAGCGCUCCCACUCGCCUUUUGCUUCAUUCCAUCUUUCCUCUCACUCCUUGGAUUCUCUCAGCUUCACAAGGAAAACUGGCUGCCGACAACUCUCUCAUUUGCAUCUUGUACCCAGCAGCGGGUGGAUUCUGACCUAGUUUGGCUCAGCUCCUGCCUCUGUCUCUCGCUGGAUUGGAGCCGUCAUGCUUGAUGGCCCCCAGUCCCCCGUCUCCAUCCUGUCCCUGGUCUGGACCCCCAGCAGCCUCAACCUUUAAUAACAGGGAAGGCUCAAGAGGUCCCAAGGGUGACUCACUUGCUCAGUGUCCCUGCAAA